Long non-coding RNA from Lolium rigidum, 671 nucleotides. RefSeq lists it as uncharacterized. The record is from RefSeq and is a predicted model, not a curated record. NCBI's taxonomy places the organism in Eukaryota, Viridiplantae, Streptophyta, Magnoliopsida, Poales, Poaceae. The transcript is spliced from 5 exons.
AAAAAAAAAACUGGUUUUGGCUCAAAAGCCCACCAAACCCAAAUCGAGCCAUUCACAGAUGCAUGGACGAGUAUUUUCAUAAACCGAAGUACUAUCUCGCUGUAAACGUUAAUGGCAAUCAUUGGGUCACCGUCGUGAUGCAUGUACCCAAGAAGGAAUUUCAAGUAUUAGAUUCCCUCUAUGUUCUUCACAGUUACAUACAUAUCAUUGAAGCAUUGAGAACCGAAAUUGCUUAUGACAUAGCAAAAGUAGAUCAUGGUUUUCCUGAUCCUUCGAACUGGCCUAUAAAAUAAUACAAAAUGCCAAGACAAAAGGAUGGAAACUCAUGUGGACUUUGGGUCCUAAAAUGUAUGGAAGAAUGGGAUGGAGAUGAAUUUAGAACCAUUAUUACACAGACACUCGUUGACUCUACCAGAGAAGUUAUGGUCGGUGAAAUAAUUUUUUCACCUAGUAACGAGUUGGAUAGGAUCAAAGAUAAACUACUCAACGCCAAUGGCGAGGAAGAUGAUGCUUAGGUCCAAGGUUUAGUGGAUAUGGUCGGGUUUUCGUCCCGUAGAAGGUUUCCCGGUGGUGUUCAAGACUUAGUUCAUUUUAUUUUCUAUUUUCAGUUAGCUGUGUAAUGACUUGGAAACUAUACUUUACAACACCUAUUUGCGUCAUAUGGAAUACCA